RNAcentral lists this long non-coding RNA (560 nucleotides) under Helianthus annuus (common sunflower). RNAcentral's name for it is "hypothetical non coding rna". Lineage: Eukaryota; Viridiplantae; Streptophyta; Magnoliopsida; Asterales; Asteraceae. The record is from RNAcentral.
UUUAUUUCUUAAUUAUCUCUCCAUCUUCUUCAAUCUCUCACUACAAAUUAAUAUUCCAGAAAUCUCCAGUCCUUUUUUCUUACUUUCUUCCCUCACAAAUAUAGAACAAUCAAUCACUUGACAAUUUGUGAUGAAGAACACCGACCCAAUUCAUAAGACCAAGAAUUGGUCAAAACCCAGGGUCGAAUAAAAAAUUCCAGAAGUUUGCCUCGAUCAAAAAAUAGUUUGCAAAAACGAAUUAAGGACCAAGAUGAUGGUGUAGGUUUUUGUCAGCGAAGAUGACAGUGAAGGUGUUCCUAUCAGUGGUAUACAUAGGUGCAUGUUGUGGUGGUUGGUGUUGCUAAUGACAAAGGCUAUGGCGGUCGAGUGGAUGAAGAUGAGGGCGGUGGUUACAAUGGUAUAUAAAAUGAACUGAUUGUGCACGGGUGGGAUGUUUUAUUUUAUUUUUUAAUUUGUUUAUCAUUAAUAAACACUAAUUCUCACUUUUCAAUUCUUUUUGUAUAAAUAGUUUGAAUACUGGACAUCAAGUAUGAAGAUGGUUAUAUGUAAUAAUGUGUCUU